Molecule: non-coding RNA, 162 nt
Organism: Danio rerio (zebrafish)
Lineage: Eukaryota; Metazoa; Chordata; Actinopteri; Cypriniformes; Danionidae
Source: RefSeq, a predicted model, not a curated record
GAGAAGACACAUUGCUGUGUGAUUUAUGGAAAAAAGGAGGCUUAAUCCUGCACAAUUUAUUUAAUAGAACCCUUUGGGAAAGCGGAGCGAGUUUCACGGUGCUACGCAACGAAAGUUUAAUGGCUCUCGUCUUGAGCAUAAUAAAGAAUCAAGCACCCGUCA